CGAUACGGACAACUCUUUCCCUCUCUACACUCUACGCCAUCAUGUAUAUUAGUUAUAUAGAUGUCGCUCGUGUUAUUUUCAGGCCUAUGUAUAGCAGGAGAUUUUUGUGUUAAUAAUUUAGAAUCCAUUUGUAUAUUAUCCGACAUGAUUCGCACAAACAUUUUUGUUUAUCUUCAAUGAAAUUAAUAUAAAAUCAUAUUAUAUAGUAUAUAAAAGUGUAAUCGCGUAGCAUUAAUCAUAUCAGAUAGUAUAAACGAAUUCUUGUCGUGCAUUGAGGAUUCGAUCGUGGUUCGUAUCGUACCAUUGACCAAUCGUGCAAUUUUUUUCUUUUUUUUAUAUUUAAAAAAAUUUUUUUUUUUCAUAUUGUUGCACUAUUUUGUUGCAUGAUCAUGAUUCUUAAUAAAAUAUAAAUAGUGAUCUAUUUGGAUUAUGUUAAAAGGAAUUGAAAAAAGAAAUAUAGAUUGCAAAGUUCCAGUGUCUUGAAAGAUUCGCUAGAGAUUCCUUCGAGAAUUUUUUAUAGAAAUUUUUCUCAAGAUACAAUGGAUUCUAAAAAUUAAAAAAUUUUUAAAUUUUAUUUUUAAAUUAAAAUGAAAACCGUUAAAAAAGAGAAGAAAAGGAAAAUGAACAAUUUUAGCAAUUUUUAUAGCGUGAACAAUUACGAAUGAAGAUUACACAAAAAUGAAAGAAAACGAUACAGAUGUAGAAAAAAAAGGAUAGAAACAUGGAUGAUGGUAUUCAUUCUAAAGCGUUUUCAUUUUCACAAAAUUUAUGAUUGUUCUAUGUCUUGUGAAUUUGCCGUACCGAGACGGUGGUGGCUGUACAAGAAUUGGCUCGAUUCCGCAAGAAGGCUGAGCCCUCCCAUUUUCUCUUAAAUUGCGCUAUCACCUAAACAAAAGUAACGUUUAUUAAUGAACAUUUUCUUUAUUUCACGUAAUUAGAAAUAAUCGUUUACUUACCUCACCGUUACAGAAACAAAAUAAAACGGCCACACAGAGACCCUAUAGAAAAAACAUCAAUCAAAAAUUUAAAAAUAUAUAAAUAAUAUUUAAUGUAAUAAUUAUUUAUUUCAAAUAUUUAUAAAAGGUUAAUUAACUUUAACAUUCAAUUUGAUAUAGUAUCCAAGAAAAUUGAGAGUUGAUUGUGAAAUAUAAGAAAAUAGUUAAAUAUAGUUUCUAUUGAAAAAUAUGUGAAGUCAUUUUACCUGAAAAGAAGCUGUUAUAGCGGAAAGAACCUCAUAGAAAUGCUCCCAAGGAUGAUUUUUCGGUGGCCUGAAGGGUAUGACAAGAUAAUGUAAACCCAAAAGAGAUCUCGAAGGUUGUGUACCAAUGCUAGGACCAGCUCUCAACUUCAUUAAUAGAACUCGAACGAUAUUGAAGAGAAAAAGUACAUUCAAUAAGGUGGAAACGCAUACUGGAUAAACCAGUACGGGCCAACCAAGAAUCAUCAACCAUUUUACUAAUUUUUGUUCGCUUGUGAACGCACUGACAAGCAGAGUGUGUAGAUAAAAACCUUCGCACAACAUCCAUGCAUAAUUAGUAAGAAGAAAGUAAUGAAGAAUAAUAUGCAACAGCCGACAUGUCAUCUGAAAAAUUUACAAAGGCAUUAUUAUUCGAACGAUAUAUGGUGUGACUAAAUUCUCGUUCGAGUUACUGGGUCGAGUGUUAAGCAAAGAGUUAAGAUCUUCAUACAUACCCCAUUGUUCAACAGUAAAUCCGUAUUCGCUACGAUGCAUCUAUACCAUACCAGCCAUAGAGCAUUAUUUACAGCAAAAGAGGCGAACAGGUUCAUAUGAAGAGUGAUCCUUGCACACCUCAGGGAGCUAUUU
Molecule: long non-coding RNA, 1825 nt
Organism: Apis laboriosa (Himalayan honeybee)
Lineage: Eukaryota; Metazoa; Arthropoda; Insecta; Hymenoptera; Apidae
Exons: 6
Source: RefSeq, a predicted model, not a curated record